This 253-nucleotide ribosomal RNA is filed under the name uncultured bacterium. RNAcentral describes it as "partial 16S ribosomal RNA". It matches the Rfam family "Bacterial small subunit ribosomal RNA", at positions 524 to 776 of the family's 1533-position model. The record is from RNAcentral.
UACGUAGGGGGCUAGCGUUGUCCGGAUUUAUUGGGCGUAAAGAGCGUGUAGGCGGCCAGACAGGUCAGCUGUGAAAACUCGAGGCUCAACCUCGAGACGUCGGUUGAAACCGUCUGGCUAGAGUCCGGAAGAGGAGAGUGGAAUUCCCGGUGUAGCGGUGAAAUGCGCAGAUAUCGGGAAGAACACCCGUGGCGAAGGCGGCUCUCUGGGACGGUACUGGCGCUGAGACGCGAAAGCGUGGGGAGCGAACAGG